Molecule: non-coding RNA, 539 nt
Organism: Pelobates cultripes (western spadefoot toad)
Lineage: Eukaryota; Metazoa; Chordata; Amphibia; Anura; Pelobatidae
Source: the annotation of a GenBank genome assembly
CCGUGGCGGUGUAGGUGGAAGCAGCGGUGGAGGAGGAGGAUGCGGUAGCCAACACUGUUUUUUACACAUAUAUAUAUAUAUAUAUAUAUAUACACAUUUUCUUUAAUUGGGGUAGCCCCCAAAAUAUUGGGACAUAUAAAAAAAAAGACAACUCUGUUCGGCUGUUGACAUUAUAGUUGACAUUAUAGUUGUGCAGGCACUUUGUUGACUCUAGAGAACCUCGGACCAAAUGCACAUCCCCGUGCCGGCGACUUUGCAUGCGGAUGACAUCCAUAUCAACUUUCGAUGCCAGUUUCUGCGCCUACCAUGGUGACCACAGGUAACGGGGAAUUAGGGUUCCAUACCGUACAGGGACCCUGAGAAACGGCUACCACAUGCAAGGAAGGCAGCAGGCACGCAAAUUACCCACUCCCGACAUGGGAAGGUAGUGACGACAAAUAACAAUACAGGACUCUUAAGAGUCCCUGUAAUUGUAAUGAGUUCAAUUGAAAUCUUUUAACUCUGGUCAAUUGGAGGGAAGUCUGGUGCAGAGCCUCUGA